RNAcentral lists this ribosomal RNA (423 nucleotides) under uncultured bacterium. RNAcentral describes it as "partial 16S ribosomal RNA". It matches the Rfam family "Bacterial small subunit ribosomal RNA", at positions 361 to 776 of the family's 1533-position model. The record is from RNAcentral.
AUUUUGGACAAUGGGGGAAACCCUGAUCCAGCCAUCCCGCGUGUAUGAUGAAUGCCUUCGGGUUGUAAAGUACUUUUGGCAGAGAAGAAAAGGCAUCCCAUAAUACGGGAUACUGCUGACGGUAUCUGCAGAAUAGGCACCGUCUAACCACGUGCCAGCAGCCGCGGUACUACGUAGGGUACAAGUGUUAAUCGGAAUUACCGGGCGUAAAGCGUGUGUAGGCGGUUCGGAAAGAAAGAUGUGAAAACCCAGGGCUCAACCUUGGAACUGCAUUUUUAACUGCCGAGCUAGAGUAUGUCAGAGGGGGGGAGAAUUCCACGUGUAGCAGUGAAAUGCGUAGAUAUAUGGAGGAAUACCGAUGGCGAAGGCAGCCCCCUGGGAUAAUACUGACGCUCAGACACGAAAGCGUGGGGAGCAAACAGG